This 498-nucleotide ribosomal RNA is filed under the name Triticum aestivum (bread wheat). RNAcentral's name for it is "partial small subunit ribosomal RNA". Lineage: Eukaryota; Viridiplantae; Streptophyta; Magnoliopsida; Poales; Poaceae. The record is from RNAcentral.
AUUUCCUGGUCUUUUACCAGUAAAGGGACUUUCUCCACUAAGUAUGUACUUGAGUGAUUGGAGAAAGAUCUCUCGGGAUCAAGCUAUAGAUGGGUGUGGAUAGCUUGUAUGCCUUUGAAAAUCAAGAUUUUUAUUUGGCAAUUGUUUCAAAAUGGUGAGCUUACUCGGGACAAUAUGCACAAGUGUAAUUGGCCUGGUAACCCUUCUUGUUCCUUUUAUAGUAAUAUGGAAGUUGUCGACCACCUGUUCUUUACUUGUCCAUUUGCUCGAUCGGUUGGGGGUCGGCAUUUGGUUUGGCGCUUCUUGUUGUCCGAGGUUUCUUUGGCGGAGCUUCUUGUGGUGCUACUGUUUCCUUCCAGGGGCAAUAAAUUUUACAUGAUGACUAUAGCCGCCAUUUGUUGGGGUAUUUGGUGUACUAGUAUCAAAAUAAUAUCUGAGGUGCAUAUUGUCUAUUCUCUCCUUGAAGUUGUCUUCAUUGCUUCUGGACAUGAUUGCUAA